GUACCUUCGGUAUAAGGGGUGCCUGCUGUUUUUGUGAGAAACAGGGACAGCAGGUCGCAGUGACAAGGGGGUCCCGACUGUUUAAUAAAAACACAGGAAGCUGCUAGCCCGAAAGGGUGUGUAUAGCUUUUGAAUCCUGGCCAGCAACGGUACCUAAAACUUGGGUUCAACCGAGCUAAGGGCCUGUUAACGCCGGGAGUAACUCUGACUCUCUUAAGGUAGCCAAAUGCCUUGUCGGGUAAGUUCCGACGUGCAUGAAUGGAACAACGAGGGCCCUACUGUCCCCGUCUACUACCCGGUGAAGCCACAUAAGGUGGACGAACAGUCCAUCAACUUCCAUCGGGGAGAGAAGACCCCGUGGAGUUUUACUGCAGCUUGUGCUUGUAGUAUAGUACGAAUUACAUAGUGUAUCUGGUAGCCAUGCCUGAAUUUCUUUGGGAAUUCAGUGAAGCGACGAUGUAACACCAGAUUAUUCUUGCAGUACUUCUUAUCUGAUGCAAAUCAGAAACAGGU
Molecule: ribosomal RNA, 513 nt
Filed under: Arenicellales bacterium
Lineage: Bacteria; Pseudomonadati; Pseudomonadota; Gammaproteobacteria; Arenicellales
Description: partial 23S ribosomal RNA
Rfam family: Archaeal large subunit ribosomal RNA
Source: RNAcentral